This 253-nucleotide ribosomal RNA is filed under the name uncultured bacterium. RNAcentral's name for it is "partial 16S ribosomal RNA". It matches the Rfam family "Bacterial small subunit ribosomal RNA", at positions 524 to 776 of the family's 1533-position model. The record is from RNAcentral.
UACGGAGGGAGCAAGCGUUACUCGGAAUUAUUGGGCGUAAAGGGCGCGUAGGCGAUCUGAAAAGUUCUGUGUGAAAGCCCACAUGUUAACUGUGGAAGUGCACAGAAAACUGUUGGAUUUGAGUUCAGGAGAGGAAGGCAGAAUUCCCGGUGUAGCGGUGAAAUGCGUAGAGAUCGGGAGGAACACCAGCGGCGAAGGCGGCGACCUGGACAGUUACUGACACUCAACUGCGAAAGCGUGGGGAGCAAACAGG